CACUCCUGCGGGAGGCAGCAGUGGGGAAUAUUGGACAAUGGGCGCAAGCCUGAUCCAGCCAUGCCGCGUGAGUGCUGAAGGCCCUAGGGUUGUAAAGCUCUUUCACCGGUGAAGAUAAUGACGGUAACCGGAGAAGAAGCCCCGGCUAACUUCGUGCCAGCAGCCGCGGUAAUACGAAGGGGGCUAGCGUUGUUCGGAUUUACUGGGCGUAAAGCGCACGUAGGCGGACUAUUAAGUCAGGGGUGAAAUCCCGGGGCUCAACCCCGGAACUGCCUUUGAUACUGGUAGUCUUGAGUUCGAGAGAGGUGAGUGGAAUUCCGAGUGUAGAGGUGAAAUUCGUAGAUAUUCGGAGGAACACCAGUGGCGAAGGCGGCUCACUGGCUCGAUACUGACGCUGAGGUGCGAAAGCGUGGGGAGCAAACAGUAUUAGAAACCCUAGUAGUCCCA
Molecule: ribosomal RNA, 447 nt
Filed under: uncultured organism
Description: partial 16S ribosomal RNA
Rfam family: Bacterial small subunit ribosomal RNA
Source: RNAcentral